CAGUAGCCGCGGGAAUACGUAGGUGGCAAGCGUUGUCCGGAAUUAUUGGGCGUAAAGGGCUCGCAGGCGGUUUCUUAAGUCUGAUGUGAAAGCCCCCGGCUCAACCGGGGAGGGUCAUUGGAAACUGGGAAACUUGAGUGCAGAAGAGGAGAGUGGAAUUCCACGUGUAGCGGUGAAAUGCGUAGAGAUGUGGAGGAACACCAGUGGCGAAGGCGACUCUCUGGUCUGUAACUGACGCUGAGGAGCGAAAGCGUGGGGAGCGAACAGGAUUAGAACCCCCGUAGUCCCUGUCUCUUAUACA
This 301-nucleotide ribosomal RNA is filed under the name uncultured bacterium. RNAcentral's name for it is "partial 16S ribosomal RNA". It matches the Rfam family "Bacterial small subunit ribosomal RNA", at positions 509 to 808 of the family's 1533-position model. The record is from RNAcentral.